GUAGGAGGCGAGCGUUAUCCGGAUUUACUGGGCGUAAAGCGCGUGCAGGCGGUUUUCUAAGUCGGACGUGAAAGCUCCCGGCUCAACUGGGAGAGGUCGUUCGAAACUAGGAGACUUGAGGAUGGUAGAGGAGAGUGGAAUUCCCGGUGUAGUGGUGAAAUGCGUAGAUAUCGGGAGGAACACCAGUGGCGAAGGCGGCUCUCUGGGCCAUACCUGACGCUAAGACGCGAAAGCUAGGGGAGAGAACGGGAUUAGAAACCCCGGGUAUUCCUAGCCGUAAACGAUGUCAACUAGGUGUAGGGGGUAUCCCAACCCCCCCUGUGCUGCAGCAAACGCGAUAAGUUGACCGCCUGGGGACUACGGCCGCAAGGCUA
RNAcentral lists this ribosomal RNA (374 nucleotides) under uncultured organism. RNAcentral describes it as "partial 16S ribosomal RNA". It matches the Rfam family "Bacterial small subunit ribosomal RNA", at positions 527 to 896 of the family's 1533-position model. The record is from RNAcentral.